RNAcentral lists this small nucleolar RNA (49 nucleotides) under Pyrobaculum calidifontis JCM 11548. Its description in RNAcentral is "PCAsR05". The record is from RNAcentral. Lineage: Archaea; Thermoproteati; Thermoproteota; Thermoprotei; Thermoproteales; Thermoproteaceae.
AUGAUGAGGCUAGACUAAGCCGAAUAAUGACGUGGCGUGAAAGGGCUGA